Molecule: ribosomal RNA, 1400 nt
Filed under: uncultured bacterium
Lineage: Bacteria
Description: bacterial SSU rRNA
Rfam family: Bacterial small subunit ribosomal RNA
Source: RNAcentral
GAGUUUGAUCAUGGCUCAGAUUGAACGCUGGCGGCAUGCUUUACACAUGCAAGUCGGACGGCAGCACAGAGAAGCUUGCUUCUUGGGUGGCGAGUGGCGAACGGGUGAGUAACAUAUCGGAACGUACCGAGUAAUGGGGGAUAACUAAUCGAAAGAUUAGCUAAUACCGCAUAUUCUCUGAGGAGGAAAGCAGGGGACCUUCGGGCCUUGCGUUAUUUGAGCGGCCGAUAUCUGAUUAGCUAGUUGGUGGGGUAAAGGCCUACCAAGGCGACGAUCAGUAGCGGGUCUGAGAGGAUGAUCCGCCACACUGGGACUGAGACACGGCCCAGACUCCUACGGGAGGCAGCAGUGGGGAAUUUUGGACAAUGGGCGCAAGCCUGAUCCAGCCAUGCCGCGUGUCUGAAGAAGGCCUUCGGGUUGUAAAGGACUUUUGUCAGGGAAGAAAAGGACAGGGUUAAUACCCCCGUCUGAUGACGGUACCUGAAGAAUAAGCACCGGCUAACUACGUGCCAGCAGCCGCGGUAAUACGUAGGGUGCGAGCGUUAAUCGGAAUUACUGGGCGUAAAGCGAGCGCAGACGGUUACUUAAGCAGGAUGUGAAAUCCCCGGGCUCAACCUGGGAACUGCGUUCUGAACUGGGUGACUAGAGUGUGUCAGAGGGAGGUAGAAUUCCACGUGUAGCAGUGAAAUGCGUAGAGAUGUGGAGGAAUACCGAUGGCGAAGGCAGCCUCCUGGGAUAACACUGACGUUCAUGCUCGAAAGCGUGGGUAGCAAACAGGAUUAGAUACCCUGGUAGUCCACGCCCUAAACGAUGUCAAUUAGCUGUUGGGCAACUUGAUUGCUUAGUAGCGUAGCUAACGCGUGAAAUUGACCGCCUGGGGAGUACGGUCGCAAGAUUAAAACUCAAAGGAAUUGACGGGGACCCGCACAAGCGGUGGAUGAUGUGGAUUAAUUCGAUGCAACGCGAAGAACCUUACCUGGGUUUGACAUGCACCAGACGGUUGUAGAGAUACGUACCUCCCUUUGUGGUUGGUGUGCAGGUGGUGCAUGGUUGUCGUCAGCUCGUGUCGUGAGAUGUUGGGUUAAGUCCCGCAACGAGCGCAACCCUUGUCUUAUGUUGCCAGCACUUUGGGUGGGGACUCAUGAGAGACUGCCGGGGUUAACUCGGAGGAAGGUGGGGAUGACGUCAAAUCAUCAUGCCCUUUAUGCCCAGGGCUUCACACAUGCUACAAUGGUUAGUACAACGCGCAGCAAACCUGUGAGGGUGAGCGAAUCGCUGAAAGCUAAUCUCAGUUCGGAUUGGGGUCUGCAACUCGACCCCAUGAAGUCGGAGUCGCUAGUAAUCGCAGAUCAGCAAUGCUGCGGUGAAUACGUUCCCGGGCCUUGCACACACCGCCCGUC